CGGGGUCUACCUACGCCACCUAUUAGAAUUACAUACUAGUAACGGGGGCGCGCUUUGCGCGCGCGCAUCAGAUUUAUACAAAAUAAAAUAUAGCUAGGUGAACACUGGUAGAGGGUAAUAUGUUUGUUGCAAUAUCUGAAGCUGCCUUGUUAUAUUUACAUGAAAUGUUUUCAGAAGAGUUGAGCAGUUAUAUAUAAUUACACAGAGAGCAUUCUACUACCUAAAACGCUGCUGAUAAUAUGAGAAAAUCUUCAGUUCUUGGAAGGUCUGGUGUCCGGCUUUUCUUUGAUGCGCAGAGGUCCAUGUUUGAACCUGUAUAGUUGGGAAACAAAGAAUUUUAAUGUCUUUGUUUAUGGAAGCAAAGGAGAAAGGGAUGGAAGUGUUCAGCAUAAAUGGAAUAAUGCUUUUAUAAUAGAUAGAAAAUAAUACAUGUAGGAUAUUGUAUAGCAGAGUAUAACUUUUUUGGUGAAGAUUCAAUUAUAAUUGCUGGACCUUUUCCCUUGUGGUCAAGUAUCGCAUCAUGUUGUAUAUAUGUAAAAAUUAUUUAUAAAGAAGUGUCAAGAAGGUAAUGGUAUUUGUUAAAUGUAAAUAAAAGUGUGAAGCAGUAUUAUAUAUAAUUGUUGUUAUAUAUAAGUGUGUACCUCUAUGUUUCCUUCGUCGAUAUCGUCGUUUUCUGCAUCAGUAAUAUCAAUGCUAGUUGGUCUGUGAAUAUAGAACAAAUGUAAUACAAUGAGUCACCUUCCUUAGCUCCAAUGAGUCUAAUAAUGAAAUCUUCACUUUCAUUAUUAGAUAGACGGUCUCUUGCCAUGCGAUUUUUUUGCGAAUGGAUUGUGAUCGUCUAGCAUCUUAAUUAAUCCAUUGACUAUAUCAGAAUCCAAAUUAUCUUGGCUAUUGAUUUCAUCUUCUAGGCAAUUCAUUCUGUUUUGAACCUCAUUGGCAGUGUCGUAAAUGUAUAACUGAAUGAACUUUGGUGAUUAGCCAUCUGGAGGUAAUAGAGAUCCAAUCCGAUGAUGCACUUGCCCACAUAUUUUAAACAGUGGUGGACCACGACCAUCAUUAACUGAAUUAUCUAUGUGUGCAACCAUUGAUGUGAAAGCAAAUAAACAAUUGUAUUGCCUUAUGCUUCUGAUGAAUCUCUUUGAGGUUGUAUCACCAUCAAAUCUUGCAAGAGAAAAUAGAGGUUCGGGUCUAGGCAUAUAUGGAGGUAUGCUGAUCUUGCCACCUUUACAACAAUUGUUAUAUGUAAUAGAUGUAGCACCGUGUUGAUUUCGUACUCUUUCAGCAUACCAAAAAAUAGCAUGACAAUGUGAGCACUCGUAUUCAGGUUUCCCAUGAUAUGAUCUAUUUGGAUAUGAAGUUAUGUUUGAUUUUGCCCAAAAAAGUUCGCGCAGGAUUAAUUGAAUUAAGGAUUUGCACUUUUGCAGAGAAAAAAUGGCACAAUGUUAGCAAGGUCUUUUUAAUAAGGAUAAUCACGGCCUACUUAAAAAAGAGGUAUUCGUAUAUCACAUUACCUUUAAGUGAUUGUAUGUACUCAUUGGUGAAAUAGGCACACUGUGAAGUCGUCGUUGUAGUCAUCAUUGAGUCUUUUUUUAACAAAAGAAGUAAGGUAAUUAGAAUUUUUAUUUAUUUAUUCAUGAAGGAAUUGUAACCACGUUUUAUGCCAUCACAUUUGGUUAAGUUGGCAUUACCUCUUCUGCCGAGUCUAUUUUGGUUAGGUAACACUCUUCGGGUUUUCCGUGCUUCUACAACAUUUGUGGGUAGUGGUAUAUACGGAGUAAAAGAGUCUGAAAACAGAGGCCAUCUACCAAGUCAAUAACUGACUGUUUUCUAUAUUCAUUAUUUAAUCUGCUACGAAUGUGCAAGAUAAGAACAUACUGUGUUUCCUUUUGUUCACGCGUUUGUUGUUGCUGCUUUCUGCAUCUGUCGUUUGGGGAUUCAUUAUUUUUUAAUUAAGUUAUACUCGUAACCUGUUAUUGUUCAAUGACCUUUAAUUAAGUAGGAAUAGGAAUUCAACAGGCAAAGAGAAAUAAAGAGAGAAUUAAAUAGAGAUGAUCUGAUGAUUUAUGCUUGAGUAAGGAGGACAUAGAAAAUAGGUAAUUGUGUUUAAUUAAUAAGAGCACAUAUGUGUGCGUAUUAUAUAUACAUAUGCACAUUUAUAAGACAUAUAAAUAUGUAAGUAUGUGGGCAUUGGUGAUGCUAAUCAUCUAUGCUUCCACAGUUUAAUAUAAAUAUGUAAGUAUGUCGGCAUUGGCGAUGCUAAUCAUCUAUGCUUCCACAGUUUAACAUAGCAACACUCAUAAAUAUAUGGUAAUAUCACAUUUUUUAUUAGUAUUGGUAUGUUUAGUUGUGUAACACAUUGAAGAAACAUAGAAGUGAGUGUGUUGUCUGAAAUAAAAUCUCGUACCUGUUGAAGAAGUAGAUGCAAUCUUUUCAAAUUAACUCUACAUUAGAUAUCCUUCCACUUGAAUUUUGCAGUAGAUGGGAGAGAGUAAACAUCAUUCAAUAGUUAAGAACAAACUGUCAGAAGAUGUUUUGUCGAUGUCGAGGAGUGUAAGUUAAUUCAACUUGAUACAUUCGUUGAUGGUACCUGAUCCUUUAGGUGCUAUAGCACUUCAAAAGCAAGCUCUGUCUGUUGCAAGUGUUUCAGCGACCUGUUCCAUUUGGGCGAAAUUAUAAGUUCCUAUAUGUACAUUAAAGAAAUUUUUUUAAAAGAAAGGAUAAUAAAUUUAUAAGUCGUUAUAUGUAGUAGUUAAAUGGCAAACAAAUCAAGUUUAGCUAAGAACUAAGAGAGAGUCGCCAAAGUAAAACCAAAUAUUUUCUGGUGGGCUGGUGGACAUAGGUUUCUGACAUUCGCUUAUUCUACACAGAUUAACGCAAGGAAAACGGUGAGAGUAGCUACUGCUUUCCAUGUCAUACGACCAGGCUCUUUUUUUAAUCUCUCAUUUUUAGCUGCAUGUUCUUUUUUUUCUUUCGAGUGAGCAACGACAAUAGGCCAAUACCUGGGACCGAAUCGAACUUAAAGGUGAAGAGCUGCUAUCCUACCGAUGCUAGGAUCUGGCUAAAAUAAUUAGUGUCGGGGACCAUAAUUAGGGUUACCCUCAAGACGCCUAAUUCUCAGCUGGUAACCCCCAUCAGCAUAAAGCUGCAGAGGCCUGAUGGGUGCGAUUAAGUCAGGGAUCAGUCCAUACGAGUGACUCGAUCACGCCUCGCCCGAGCCUAGCCUCGGGCAAGGGCAGCCGACCCCGAGGGAUUUCCGUCUCGCCCGAGGCCCCCCUUUAACGGUGGACACAUCUCCGGCUCGCCCGAGGCCUUGCCUUCGCUAAGAAGCAACCCUGACUGAAUCGCCGCGCCGACCGAUCGAGUCGCAGGAGCAUUUAACGCAAAGGUGGCCUGACACCUUUAUCCUGACGCGCGCCCCCCGGCAGAGCCGAAGUGACCGCCGUCACUUCGCCGCUCCACUGACCGGUCUGACAGAAGGACAGUGCCGCCUGCGCCACUCCGACUGCAGUGCCACUUGACAGAGUGAGACUGACAGGCAGUCAGGCCUCGCCAAAGGCGCCAUAGGAAACUCCGCUCCGCCCGACCCAGGGCUCGGACUCGGGCUAAGCCCCGGAAGACGGCGAACUCCGCUCCGCCCGACCCAGGGCUCGGACUCGGGCUAAGCACCGGAAGACGGCAAACUCCGCUCUGCCCGACCUAGGGCUCGGACUCGGGCUAAGACCCGGAAGACGGCGAACUCCGCUCCGCCCGACCCAGGGCUCGGACUCGGGCUAAGACCCGGAAGACGGCGAACUCCGCUCCGCCCGACCCAGGGCUCGGACUCGGGCUCAGCCCCGGAAGACGACGAACUCCGCUCCGCCCGACCCAGGGCUCGGACUCGGGCUCAGCCCCAGAAGACGACGAACUCCGCUUCGCCCGACCCCAGGGCUGGGACUCCGCCCUGGCCUCUGCCGAACGACCUCCGCCUCGCCCGACCCAGGGGCUCGGGCUCGGCCUCGGCAACGGAAGACAGACUCGACCCCAGCUUCGGAGGAGCCCCCCACGUCGCCCGGCCUCGGGCGCGGGCCCGCCACGUCAACAGGGAGCGCCAUCAUCACCCUACCCCGAGCUGACUCGGGCCGCAGAGAACAAGACCGGUGUCCCAUCUGGCUAGCUCCGCCAGAUAGGCAAUGAUGGCGCCCCGCGUGCCCUGUGACGACGGCGGCUCUCAGCUCCCUUACGGAAGCAGGGGGACGUCAGCAAGGACUCGACCGCUCCGACAGCUGUCCCUCCGCCAAGCUCCGUUGCUCCUCCGACAGCCACGACAUCACACCAGCAGGGUGCCAAGAUCUCUCCGGCUGCCACAUUGGCAUGUACUCAGGGCGCUAGCUCUCCCUCCGCUAGACACGUAGCACUCUGCUACAUCCCCAUUGUACACCUGGAUCCUCUCCUUACGCCUAUAAAAGGAAGGACCAGGGCCUUCUUAGAGAAGGUUGGCCGCGCGGGGACGAGGACGAGACAGGCGCUCUCUUGGGGCCGCUCACUUCCCUCACCCGCGUGGACGCUUGUAACCCCCUACUGCAAGCGCACCCGACCUGGGCGCGGGACGAACACGAAGGCCGCGGGAUUUCCACCUCUCUCUCGCCCGUCUCCGGCUACCUCGCUUUCCCCCCUUCGCGCUCGCCCACGCGCUCGACCCAUCUGGGCUGGGGCACGCGGCACACUCACUCGUCGGCUCAGGGACCCCCCGGUCUCGAAACGCCGACAGUUGGCGCGCCAGGUAAGGGCCUGCUGCGUGCUGACGAACAGCUUCCCGUCAAGCUCCAGAUGGGCAGUCUCCAGCAACCUCUCCGGCCCGGGACGGUGCUCCGUUUCGGGAAUCUUGAGUUCAUGUCCUUCGACGGCAGCUACGACAUGAUACUCCUUCCACCGCCGUGCGACAACGACAAUGGCGGCCGACAACCCGCCCGCCGGCGGCGGAAUCGACGACAUCUUCCCCGCGUGUUGGAAGAACAACAUUCGAGCUCGCCCCGUCCUCUCCCCCGCCAACGGAGGAGGAGGCGGGGCAACCUAGGCCAAGCGGGAGGCCGCGCUUCGUCGGCUGUCGAGCGAAUCGACGUCCCCAGCGCCCCAACGGAAGGCACGCCGGGCGUCGACCUCGCGUUUGAGACGAAGGCAAGCGCCGUACCCCCGCGACACACCAAUCCCGAGCAAGUGGACGACGCCGGCGCGCUCGCGGAGAGCUUGCAGGACGCCGCCCUCGUACCUGAGACGACGGUGCAACCAGUCCCCGACGUGACUACGCCGCUCCUCGUCGACCAAAAGGUACUGACUGAUUCCCAUCUUACGUCAUUUCGACUCGGCCUCAACCCGCCUAGCGACCUUGCUUUGGCGGGCGCUCUCGUUGAGGCGAGUGCAACCCCACUGGGGUUUCGUAUGCGGUCGCCUUGGGACCGGCUGACGGACGUCUCGACCUAUGGGCCCUCUGGGUCCGAGGAAGAUGACGAUCCCAGCAUCUGUUGGGAUUUCUCCGGAUUUGGCAACCCCAGUGCCAUGCGGGACUUUAUGACCGCAUGUGACUACUGCCUCUCCGACUGUUCCGACGGUAGCCGCAGCCUCGACGACGAGGACUGCGGCCCGAGCCGCGAAUGUUUCCACGUCGAGCUAGGGGAUCCCUCCGAAGGCAACCAUCUCGGCAUGCCGGAGGACGGUGAUCUCCCUAGGCCGGUGCCUCGCGCUGACAUCCCGCCCGCGGGAGCUAGCUGUGGUCCCCGUUCCGGCGGGGGGUCACGACCCACAGCUCGAGCAAGUCCGCGGGGCGCAGGCCAGGCUCGACGAGGGAGCAGGAGCGCUUGAGCCGAUCCACCGGGACGUCGGGCAGGUAUGGGCGGGCCAACCCCCGGCCGGAGAAAUACGUCACCUGCCCCAAGAUUUCCAGCACCGCGUCGCCAACGACGUCAGGGUCAGACCGCCACCCGCAUCCAGUGGGGUCGGUCAGAACCUGGCCGCAGCAGCGAUGCUCCUCCGCGCGAUGCCGGAGCCAUUAACCACCGAGGGUCGGCGAAUCCAGGGAGAGCUCAAGAAUCUCCUGGAAGGCGCUGCGGUCCGACGGGCCGAGAGCACUGCCUCCCGAAGGCAGGGAUACCCCUCGGAACCUCAUGCCGCGACUUCCCGAUUCAUGCGGGAAGCCUCGGUCUACACCGGGCGCACGCGCAACACCGCGCCUGCGGGCCCGGGCCACCUCGGCAACGAGCACCAUCGUCGCGACCGUCGGGCCCACCUCGACGAAAGGGUGCACCGAGGCUACCACCCCAGGCGUGGGGGACGCUACGACAGCGGGGAGGAUCGGAGUCCCUCGCCCGAACCACCCGGUCAGCAGGCCUUUAGUCGGGCCAUCCGACGGGCGCCGUUCCCGACCCGGUUCCGACCCCCGACUACUAUCACAAAGUACUCGGGGGAAACGAGACCGGAACUGUGGCUCGCGGACUACCGCCUGGCCUGCCAACUAGGUGGAACGGAUGAUGACAACCUCAUCAUCCGCAACCUCCCCCUGUUCCUCUCCGACACUGCUCACGCCUGGUUGGAGCACCUGCCUCCGGGGCAGAUCUCCAGCUGGGAUGACUUGGUCCAAGCCUUCGCCGGCAAUUUCCAGGGCACGUACGUGCGCCCCAGAAAUUCCUGGGACCUCCGAAGCUGUCGGCAACAGCCGGGAGAGUCUCUUCGGGACUACAUCCGGCGAUUCUCGAAGCAGCGCACCGAGCUGCCCAACAUCACCGACUCGGAUGUCAUCGGCGCGUUCCUUGCCGGCACCACCUGCCGCGACCUGGUGAGUAAGUUGGGUCGCAAGACCCCCACCAGGGCAAGCGAGCUGAUGGACAUCGCCACCAAGUUCGCCUCUGGCCAGGAGGCGGUCGAGGCUAUCUUCCGAAAGGACAAGCAGCCCCAGGGCUGCCCAUCGGAAGAGGCUCCCGAGGCGUCUACUCCGCGCGGCGCCAAGAAGAAAGGCAAGAAGAAGUCGCAAGCGAAACGCGACGCCGCCGACGCGGACCUUGUCGCCGCCGCCGAGUACAAGAACCCUCGGAAGCCCCCCGGAGGUGCUAACCUCUUCGACAAGAUGCUCAAGGAGCCGUGCCCCUAUCAUCAGGGGCCCGUCAAGCACACCCUCGAGGAGUGCGUCAUGCUUCGGCACCACUUCCACAGGGCCGGGUCGCCCGCAGAGGGUGGCAGGGCCCGCGACGACGACAAGAAGGAAGAUCACCAAGCAGGAGAGUACCCCGAGGUCCGCGACUGCUUCAUGAUCUACGGUGGGCAUGCGGCGAAUGCCUCGGCUCGGCAUCGCAAGCAAGAGCCCGGGAGGUCUGCUCGGCGAAGGUGGCGGCGCCAGUCUACCUAGACUGGUCCGACAAGCCCAUCACCUUCGACCAAGCUGACCACCCCGACCACGUGCCGAGCCCGGGGAAAUACUCGCUCGUCGUCGACCCCAUCAUCGGCGACGUCAGGCUCACCAAGGUCCUGAUGGACGGGGGCAGCUGCCUCAACAUCAUCUACGCCGAGACCCUCAGGCUCCUGCGCGUCGAUCUGUCCCCCGUCCGAGCAGGCGCUGCGCCCUUCCACGGGAUCAUCCCUGGGAAGCGCGUCCAGCCCCUCGGACGACUCGACCUUCCCGUCUGCUUCGGAACGCCCUCCAACUUCCGAAGGGAGACCUUGACGUUCGAGGUGGUCGGGUUCCGAGGAACCUACCACGCGGUACUGGGGAGGCCAUGCUAUGCGAAGUUCAUGGCCGUCCCCAACUACACCUACUUGAAGCUCAAGAUGCCGGGCCCCAACGGGGUCAUCACCGUCGGCCCCACGUACAAACACGCGUUCGAAUGCGACGUGGAGUGCGUGGAGUACGCCGAGGCCCUCGCCGAGUCCGAGGCCCUCAUCGCCGACCUGGAAAACCUCUCCAAAGAGGUGCCAGACGUGAAGCGUCAUGCCGGCAACUUCGAGCCAGCGGAGACGGUUAAGGCCGUCCCUCUCGACCCCAGUGGCGACACCUCCAAGCAGAUCCGGAUCGGUUCCGGGCUCGACCCCAAAUAGGAAGCAGUGCUCGUCGACUUUCUCCGCGCAAACGCCGACGUUUUUGCGUGGAGUCCCUCGGACAUGCCCGGCAUACCGAGGGAUGUCGCCGAGCACUCGCUGGAUAUUCGAGCCGGAGCCCGACCCGUCAGGCAGCCUCUGCGCCGAUUCGACGAGGAGAAGCGCAGAGUGAUAGGCGAGGAGAUCCACAAGCUAAUGGCAGCAGGGUUCAUCACAGAGGUAUUCCAUCCCGAAUGGCUUGCCAACCCUGUGCUUGUGAGGAAGAAAGGGGGGAAAUGGUGGAUGUGUGUAGACUACACUGGUCUCAACAAAGCAUGUCCGAAGGUUCCCUACCCUCUACCUCGCAUCGAUCAAAUCGUGGAUUCCACUGCUGGGUGCGAAACCCUGUCCUUCCUCGAUGCCUACUCAGGGUAUCACCAAAUCCGGAUGAAAGAGUCCGACCAGCUCGCGACUUCUUUCAUCACGCCCUUCGGCAUGUAUUGCUACGUCACCAUGCCGUUCGGUUUGAGGAAUGCGGGCGCGACGUACCAGCGGUGCAUGAACCAUGUGUUCGGCGAACACAUCGGUCGCACAGUCGAGGCCUACGUCGAUGACAUCGUAGUCAAGACAAGGAAGGCUUCCGACCUCCUCUCCGACCUUGAAGUGACAUUCCGAUGUCUCAAGGCGAAAGGAGUCAAGCUCAAUCCUGAGAAGUGUGUCUUCGGGGUGCCCCGGGGCAUGCUCUUGGGGUUCAUCGUCUCCGAGCGAGGCAACAAGUCUUUACGUUCGGAAGCUCUUCUGCCGAAGCGGUCCUUCAAGCCUUCUCGACUGAGUCGGAGACAGGGCCUCAUGGACGGGUGAAAGUACGCGUAAGCGGCAAGGCCGACCGAGCCGAGGGACUCCCACGCCUCCGGGAUACGGAUACCUCACUCGUCACCUUCCGCGAGAAGCAACUCUCGCUCGCACAAACACCCCUGUUACCGACAAAAAGUCCAGAUGCUCGAAACAAGAGGGAAAGAGACACAGCUUUACAACGCGGUGAGGGUGUGUAUUCUGGCCUCGGCGGCCGCAGAAGGCACACGCUACAAGACAAUCUGAUCCUGCAGGCUCGGGUCUUCACGCUGGAAGGGGGCUGUAGCACCCUCGGCAUCGACGGCACCUUCAGUGAGGUCCGACCCAGCCUCGGACGGCGACGCGGUCCAGGGACUCCUCCGGGAAUCCGGCCCGAGCAGGCGGCUCGGCCGGUUACCCCUGGGGCCUCGGCCAACCAUCUUCCAAGGGCGCCAGCCCGACCCGAGGCCUCAGUUGGUCAACUCCGGCGUCGGUCCCGCUGACGGACAACCCGGCUAGGCUCCGGCCAACCAGGUUCCCAUUUUCGAGCCAACUCCGCCUCUAUUCGUACUGAUAUCGCUACCCCUGGCCUCGGCUCAUCGAAGAGCGGCCGAGGGGUCUCUUUAACCAAGCUAGAGGAGCCUCAGACAACAAGGCCGAUCGAGCCGAGGGACUCCUACGCCUCCGGGAUACGGAUACCUCACUCGUCACCUUGACACGGGGCGACUCAUGCUUGGUGAAGCGGUUCAGAUAAUCAACAGGCGAGACUUAGUGCUCGAAAAUGAGAAAAAAAAACACGGCUCCGUGCCGAAAUUACAUACAUGUUCAGGCCUCGACAGCCACAAUGAACAAAAACACUGGCAUUCAAGGUGCCAUUACAAACGGAACUCCGGUUCCCCCUCCGCAGGUACGAACAACCCCACUCCAUGGGGGAAGGCCUGCGGAGCAACGGAAGACCAACGAACGGCGCGCCGUCACAUGCUCUAGCAGCGACGACGACGACGACUUCUGCUCCGGGGGGCCGAACAGCGGCAGCACUGACCUCAGGGCGGAUGCUGCUGCCAGGAGGCCCCCGCCCAUGCCAAAACUUGUGAGGCAAGGACGGGCAGAAGGCCGCAGAGUUGAAGGUCGGUCCGUGGCCGGCCUUGGCCAUCUCGCCGGCAGAAGAACCUCUUCAAGCUGCCGUGGCGGACGCCGGCGCCGCGAGCGGCUCCGAAGCCACUCGCGUCCGAGAGCCAGGCACGGUGCAGCUGCCAGCGCCACGGACGACGACCGCCCUUCCCUCCGAUCACUGAGUGAAGGAGCGGGCCGCCGCCCACGCGGGGGCCGACCUCAACUCGGCACACUCCCCUCCCCAGCCCUGGUGAUGAAAAUCCUUGAGGCUGAGGGAGGGGGAGAGGCCGCAGCCCGGCUCGCUUUCCCCCACCAUCAAGCUGGAGGUCACCAUCUUGGGUGACCGCCGGUGGAGGGGUGCAGCCGGGCUGCAUGAUGAAAAUCCUUGAAGCCGAACGAUGGCUGAAAGGUACCAACUCCCACGGAGUUGCGUUCCUCCAACGAUGAGGUGAAAAGACGGUGGGUUCCCCCCAUCCGGGGGCUUGGAAGGUGGAAAGACGCGAGGCAUAAGGGAGGGAGAAGACAUGGUCGCCCUCCGAAAGGGGUCGCCCUCCUUUUAAAGGCAACUCUCCCUACGUGCGCCCCCAAACGCCACGGGAUGAGUCUUCUCCAACACGCUCCAAGGCACUCCCCUGCGGCGCGGGGGCUGGGUCCCGCAUGUCAUGCAAACCGGCUCAGAGCAGAGGAAGCCAAACCGCCGCGCGUGGCGCACACAACCGCCCAGCGGUUACAAGCGACCCCCCACUUUUGCCCAGACCAACGGGCGGAAGGGGCGAGCAGCCAUGCAGGCGGCAUGCAAUCGCGCCAGGUGGACGCGCUUCUCCGACUCCCAACACGCCAGCAUGGAGGCCCAGGCCCACGCGUCACGCAACCUGCGUGCCAGAUGCUGCAUGCAAGCAACUGCACCGCCACUUGCGCCACCACCGCGCCUCUUCGGUUGCGGAACCAAUACCGCGACUCGAGGCGGCCCAGCGCACGACCCAGCAACGCCAGCCAGGCGCGACGGUCAAUACGACCGAAAGUGGGCCGGCAGUAAUGACGGUGGCAGGCGGGCGGGAGCAGCGGUCACGUCGUCGGCCAGGCUCACGUCCCAUCCAGGGGCAGCAAGAGAGCCUCCUCUCACGGCGUGAAGACGACGCACCCGUGAUCCGUUCCUCGAACGGCUCGCGCACGCGCAACGGCCGCCCCGCCAACCACUCGCCCCGUCGCAUUAACUCCGCGGCGGGACAGGCGGCGCUUCUGGCAGGAGAAGCGGGCGACGCUUCGCCUUCGCCGUAAUAACCGCGCCAAAAAAGGUAUGCCACGUCGUUCGAUUUCGUAUCCUUUUCCUUUUUUCCUCUUUCUCUAUCUCUUGCAACAGGGACCGGGAAAGGGGGAUACCCCGAAAAGGAUCCUUCCCUGUGAAGGAACCGGGCUCCGAGCCCCCCCUACUGAUCAGAGGUUCGAAGGCUGGCCCUCUGAGGGGUUCAACAGUCGCCUUAGAUCGCGUGGGCCCUACACCCACUACUGGUCAGAGGUUCGAAGGCCGGCCCCCCGAAGGGCUCCACGGCCGCCUCAGGCUACUCGGGCUCCGCGCCCAUUACUGAUCAGGGGUUCGAAGGCUGGCCCCCGAAGGGUUCACAGUCGCCUCAGACGCCGAGCGAGGGAUGACCAGGGGUACGUUCGAUACAUAACCAAGGCUCGGGCUGCGCUCCCGAGGUACCCUAGGACAUUUCCGAGACCAGUGGGAGCGAUCUUGUUACGGAAUCCCAUCGGAGGGAGGCAUCGAGCCCUCGGACCCCGUCGCCAGGGGACCGGGUCCGGUAGAUCACCCGCAGGUACUUUUGGGCGUGCCUCUGGGCCCCUAGCCGACCCCCAACGAACGGGGCACGGACGUCCACUCGGAUUACCCGCUUGCAGCUCACCGGAGACACCAUGUUCGGUGCCCAUCGAGGGUAACAUGGCGCUCUCCCCCCCUCCUCCUUGCGGAAAGGCGACGUAGGGGCGUAUGUAAAAAAGUCGAGUCUGUCCCUGAUCGCCCUCUCGCCCUGUGCAGAGGCUCGGGGGCUGCUCUCGCAAACCCGGCUCCGGCCGAACCGUUGACAGCGUCAACAUACCAGCCCGAGAACUUGGGCCCCGACCGUACGCCCGGGCUACGGCCAGUUCGCAUGAGGGAACAACCAGACCAGCCGAAGCAUUACGCAAGGCAUUAAGACCUCGGGGGAGUGAAACCACUCCUCCGAGGCCUCGGGGGCUACACCCGGCGGGUGCGCUCGCGCGCACCCACCGGAACAAAAUGCAACCGAGAAAGGCUGGUCCCCUUGCAAAAAAGUGCGACGAAAGCCUGUGAAUCAUCUAGGCCCCUUUGGUAAUGUUUUGGUAAUUAAUGACAACUGUUUGUGGACUAACGAUUCUUGGAGAAAUAAGAAUGCAGGGUUGGACCACAUAGAACAGGAAAUGUUGAAGAAUCAUACACAUUGGUUGUGGAUCAGAUUAAGGGAAAGGUAUAAUAUAGGUUUCACUUUUGCCGGUCUUGAGGAGUUUAGAGAAGAUACCUGACCGGAUUAGUAGGCUAGAUAGUCGUACUAUUAAGAGGGGUCAAUGACUUAGAUCUGUGUAAAACUUAGUGCCUCAUAGAGCAUCAAGUAGUUGCAUUUGCAUGAGGACUAACAACACUUCACAUUUCGCGAGUCAAAAGUUCUUUCAAAAGCAUGUUUAAAAAUUGCGAAGUCAUGGACGCGCGGACUGUCCGGCCCUUAGGGGCGGACCGUCCGCGAUCCACCAGAGGGGUCUGAAGUCUGACCAUUUGUAUUGACAAUGUGUUCUAUUGCACUGCGGACCGUCCGGGCCUUAGGGCCGGACCGUCCGCAGUCAUGACCAGAGGAGGGUGGCUUCGGGACAGUCCCUGAAUUAUAGGCGGACGGUCCGCCUGUAAGGGGCGGACGGUCCGCAAGUGUCAAACUCGUUUUUGGACAGGGACUGUGUGUUUUUAUAGAUUUGUACUACGGACUGUCCGGGGGACCAGUCCGGACAAUACUGUCUCAGGUCUCGGACCGUCCGGGAUUUAUAGCCGGACGGUCCACGUGUGUUAACUUCUUUUGAUCCGAGGCUCGGGUGUUUGAAUCUGCCAGGUCGCGGACGGUCCGGCCUUGAAGGGCGGACUGUCCGGACCCACCUUUUGAGUCAGCUCUGACAUGUUUCAAACGGUCAUUAUAGUCGUUAUAUGUACGGCGGACCGUCCGGCCCUAGGGCGCGGACGGUCCGCGUGUGCGCAGAAUUGCCCCCUUUUGCACAUAACGGUUGGUUUUGGAUGGGGGACUAUAAAUAGAAGGGUAGCUCGUGUGAGAGACCUCUCUUGGCUAUUCCUUGCACACAUUGAGCUCAUUUGUGAUCCUCCAACUCACUCUCUCACACUCUUUGCUUAAGAUUGCAUUCUAGUGAGAGAUUGAGGGUUCCUAGUGCAUUUGCAUCAUUUGGUGAUUCUUGAGGCACUAGGUGGUACACCGAGCAAGCGUCGUUGGCUUGUUACUCUUGGAGGUUGCCGCCUCCUAGACGGCUCGGGUGAUUGUCUCCGUCGAGCUCUCCAAGAAGAUUGUGGAGAAGCCGCGGUGUGGAUUGUGAGGGGUUCGCGCCUACCUCGCCGGAGCGGCAAAGGUGACAUUAGUGGAAUCGAGGUAUUGAGUGAUUUCUUGUUCACUUGGCUCAAAGAUCAAGUCGUGUCUUGAUAGAGGAGCAAGUGAGAGCUUGAAGUCCACCUCAACGUGGAUUAGGGGUGAUCGGCAAAUCACCGAUACCACGGGAUAAAUUUCGGUGUCUAUUCCUUCUAGCAUUACUUAUUGCCUUGCAAUUGAUUAGUGAUUUGCUUAUUGUUCUUCAAGUAUUCAAUCUCCGUAGUUGUCUUUCAUACAUUGUUUACUUAUUGACACUAGAUAAUUUAUUCCUCUUGUUGUAUUGAUUAAAUUUAUUUAGUAUUGUUGAUUUUAGUCAAAACCGUCUAUUCACCCCCCUCUAGCCGGUGUCCUAGAUCCUACAAAGCCUCCAAGCGAGUGUUAACACUCCCUUCGAGGCUCGGGGGCUACUGUCGGGGACCAUAAUUAGGGGUACCCUCAAGACGCCUAAUUCUCAGCUGGUAACCCCCAUCAGCAUAAAGCUGCAGAGGCCUGAUGGGUGCGAUUAAGUCAGGGAUCAGUCCAUACGAGUGACUCGAUCACGCCUCGCCCGAGCCUAGCCUCGGGCAAGGGCAGCCGACCCCGAGGGAUUUCCGUCUCGCCCGAGGCCCCCCUUUAACGGUGGACACAUCUCCGGCUCGCCCGAGGCCUUGCCUUCGCUAAGAAGCAACCCUGACUGAAUCGCCGCGCCGACCGACCGAGUCGCAGGAGCAUUUAACGCAAAGGUGGCCUGACACCUUUAUCCUGACGCGCGCCCCCCGGCAGAGCCAAAGUGACCGCCGUCACUUCGCCGCUCCAGUGACCGGUCUGACAGAAGGACAGCGCCGCCUGCGCCACUCCGACUGCAGUGCCACUUGACAGAGUGAGACUGACAGGCAGUCAGGCCUCGCCAAAGGCGCCAUAGGAAACUCCGCUCCGCCCGACCCAGGGCUCGGACUCGAGCUAAGCCCCGGAAGACGGCGAACUCCGCUCCGCCCGACCCAGGGCUCGGACUCGGGCUAAGCCCCGGAAGAUGGCGAACUUCGCUCCGCCCGACCCAGGGCUCGGACUCGGGCUAAGACCCGGAAGACGGCGAACUCCGCUCCGCCCGACCCAGGGCUCGGACUUGGGCUAAGACCCGGAAGACGGCGAACUCCGCUCCGCCCGACCCAGGGCUCGGACUCGGGCUCAGCCCCGGAAGACGACGAACUCCGCUCCGCCCGACCCAGGGCUCGGACUCGGGCUCAGCCCCAGAAGACGACGAACUCCGCUUCGCCCGACCCCAGGGCUCGGACUCCGCCCUGGCCACUGCCGAACGACCUCCGCCUCGCCCGACCCAGGGGCUCGGGCUCGGCCUCGGCAACGGAAGACAGACUCGACCCCAGCUUCGGAGGAGCCCUCCACGUCGCCCGGCCUCGGGCGCGGGCCCGCCACGUCAACAGGGAGCGCCAUCAUCACCCUACUCCGAGCUCUCCAAGAAGAUUGUGGAGAAGCCGCGGUGUGGAUUGUGAGGGGUUCGCGCCUAUCUCGCCGGAGCGGCAAAGGUGACAUUAGUGGAAUCGAGGUAUUGAGUGAUUUCUUGUUCACUUGGCUCAAAGAUCAAGUCGUGUCUUGAUAGAGGAGCAAGUGAGAGCUUGAAGUCCACCUCAACGUGGAUUAGGGGUGAUCGGCAAAUCACCGAUACCACGGGAUAAAUUUCGGUGUCUAUUCCUUCUAGCAUUACUUAUUGCCUUGCAAUUGAUUAGUGAUUUGCUUAUUGUUCUUCAAGUAUUCAAUCUCCGUAGUUGUCUUUCAUACAUUGUUUACUUAUUGACACUAGAUAAUUUAUUCCUCUUGUUGUAUUAAUUAAAUUUAUUUAGUAUUGUUGAUUUUAGUCAAAACCGUCUAUUCACCCCCCCCUCUAGCCGAUGUCCUAGAUCCUACAAGUGGUAUCAGAGCCGAGGACUCCAUUGUUUGUGGAUCUAAUCAUCCCGGAGUGGGACAAAAUGGCUAGUAACAACAAUGUGCACAUUGGGAAGCCACCGCACUUCGAUGGAAACAAUUAUGAUUAUUGGAAAAUAAGAAUGUCAAUGCAUCUUAGAGCAAUGGGUGGAAAAAUUUGGCCAAUUGUUAGGGAUGGAUUUGUUGUAUUGAAGGAAGAUGAACCAUCCGUUAGUGAUAAUGAGAAUAUCCUCACAAAUGAUCAAGCCAUGAAUGUCUUUUAUGAUGCUCUUGAUAUAAAUGAGUUCAAUCGUAUCAAAAAUCUCACAACCGCUCAUGAGAUUUGGAUAAAACUAAUGGAAAUUCAUGAAGGAACUACAAUUGUGAAGAGUGCCAAACUAUAUGUGUGCAAAGGGAAGUUUGAGCAAUUUAUUAUGAAAGAAGAUGAGAGUGUAUCCGAUAUGUUCAAUCGGUUGAAUGAGAUAGUAAAUGAACUCAAAGGACUUGGUUUUAAUGUACCGGAUGUGGAUUUCACACACAAGUUCCUUAGAUCACUUCCGGAGAAAUAUGAGACUAUUGUGACAAUGCUAGUAAGGAGUGAUCUAUCUACAACUUCUCCAACCGAAGUAUUGGGAGAAAUUCUCACUCAAGAUAUAUUUAAGAAGUCACAAGCUGAUGCUUUAAGUUUGGCAAAGAAGGUGAAAAAUGGAUCUAUUGCUCUCAAAGCCAAGGCCUCAAAGGCAAUUGAAAAAGAAGAUAGCAAUGAUGAAGAAAAUGAAAGUGAGAGUGAUGGUGACAUGGCUUUAUUUGUAAGGAAAUUCAAUAAAUUCAUGAAGAUGAAAAGAGGUCAACCUAGAAGAGGUCAAACAUCUAGAAGAAAUGCUUUCAAUGAUAGAAAAUGUUUUGAGUGUGGGGAACCCGGUCACAUUGCCAUGAAUUGCCCAAGCAAGAAGAAGAAGGGCAAAGAUGAAAGUGACAAGAAGAAAAAGAAAUACUAUAACAAGAAGAAAGAUGGCAAAGCCUACUUAGUUGAAUGGGACUCGGAUGAUAGCUCGGAUGAUGAUGAUGAUGACAACUCAUCCAAGCUUAAUGCCGGAAUUGCCAUCAAGGAAGCUCCCUCACUCUUCUCAUCCCCCCAUUGUCUCAUGGCAAAGGGAGAUGCUAAGGUAAAAAUCAUCACCGAUUUAAAUGAUAUAAAAGAUGAUGAUGAUAUCGAUGAUGUUGAUGAUGAUGGCUAUUCAUAUGAUGAUCUUGUUAGAAUGUUAGGUGAGGCCGAUGACUACAUGCACAAAGAAAAAGAAAAAUUUAAGACCUUGAAGGAAUUGUAUAAAAACCUCCAAGUGUCUUUUGAGGAGCUCAAGACCUCUCACAAUGACCUCAAAGAAAAUUGUGAGAAGCUUGCGGAUGCUCAAAAAUCAUCUAUUGUGCAUGAAGUUGAGGUGGUCACUAAGGAUGUUGGAGUCACUUGUGACUUACUUGAUACUCUUACAAGUGAACCACUACCUACUAACUCUAUUUGUGAUAAAUGCAAAAUUUCUCUCAAUGAUAACAUUGCUCUUGAUGAAUCAAAAAUUAUUGUUGAGAAUGAAAUGUUAGUAGAUAGAAUAAAUACUCUAACUCAUGAUCUAGAAAAGGCAUAUGGUGGUAAGACUAAAUUGGAUUUCAUAUUGGGAAGUCAACGAUGCUCUCUUAACCGUGAAGGUCUUGGAUAUGUUCCCAAGAAAGGAAAGAAUGCUUUUGUAAAGCAAAAGACAUUGUUUGUGAAAGAAUGUGACAAAGUGUGUCACAAGUGUCACAAAAAGGGACACGUUAAGAAAAAUUGUCCCAAGUUCAAAAAUAUAUCCUCCACUUGUUUUGAGCAUUGUUAUGUUCUUUCUCAUAAUGCAAAAGGUGCUCAUGCUAAAUUUGUUGGUACUUCAAUUGUUGGAAACAAAAAGAAAGCUAUUUGGGUACCAAAGACCUUGGUCACUAACAUCCAAGGACCCAAGCAAGUUUGGGUACCUAAAAGAGAUUGAUUUCCUUUUGUAGGUAAACUACAAGGCGGGAGGGAAUCAUUGGGUGUUGGACAGUGGAUGUACUCAACACAUGACCGGGGAUAUGAAAAUGUUUACCCAAAUGAGUGAGGAAGAUUGCUCAAAUUAUGAUAGUAUCACAUUUGGAGAUAAUCGUAAAGGAAAGGUUACAGGUUUGGGUAAAAUUGCUAUCUCAAAUGAUCAUUCUAUAUCAAAUGUGCUAUUGGUUGAGUCUUUGAAUUUUAAUUUACUUUCCGUAGCUCAAUUAUGUGAUUUAGAAUUUUGUUGCAAUUUCACCGUUGAAGAUGUUAUUAUCUCUAGUGUUGAUGGUAGCAAUCUUAAGUUUAAAGGUUUUAGACAUGAAAAUCUUUAUCUUGUUGAUUUCUCAUCUAAUGAGGCAAAGCUCACAACUUGCUUAUUUUCAAAAGCUUCACUAGGUUGGUUAUGGCAUAGAAGACUUGGUCAUGUUGGGAUGAAGCAACUCAAUCGGUUAACCAAACAUGACUUAGUUCGAGGCUUAAAAGAUGUGAAGUUUGAAAAGAACAAAUUGUGUAGCUCUUGUCAAGCCGGUAAGCAAGUGGCAAACACUCAUCCAAAUAAAAGUCAAAUGUCCACUCAUCGACCUUUGGAAUUACUUCACAUGGAUUUAUUUGGGCCCACAUCUUUUGUAAGUAUUGGUGGUAAUUCUUAUUGUCUUGUGAUUGUGGAUGACUAUUCAAGAUUUACUUGGGUUUAUUUUCUACGAGACAAAUCCAAUGUGUUUGAAACAUUCAAGUCAUUUGCUAUAUUGGCUCAAAAUCAAUUUGAUUUCGACAUCAAAAAGGUUAGAAGUGAUAAUGGGUCGGAAUUCAAAAAUGCAAGAAUUGAUCAAUAUUGUGAUGACAAGGGUAUCAAACAUGAAUUCUCUUCCAAAUAUACCCCGGAACAAAACGGUAUUGUUGAAAGAAAGAAUAGAACUCUUAUUGACAUGGCUAGGUCUAUGUUAGCGGAAUAUAGUAUAUCGGAUUCUUAUUGGGCCGAGGCAAUAAAUACCGCUUGUCAUUCAUCAAAUAGACUAUAUUGUCACAAGCUCUUGAAGAAAACUCCAUAUGAAUUGCUCAUUGGUAGAAAGUCAAAUAUCUCAUAUUUUAGGGUAUUCGGUUGCAAAUGUUAUAUUUUGAGAAAGGGGAGCCGGCUUUCUAAAUUUGAGAAGAAAUGUGAUGAGGGUUUUCUUCUUGGAUAUUCAUCAAAUAGUAAGGCUUAUAGAGUCUUUAACAAAACUCAUGGUAUUAUUGAGGAAGCAUAUGAUGUUGAAUUCGAUGAAACAAAUGGGUCUCAAGAUGAGAGUGAUAAUCUCGAUGAUGUUGGGGGAACUCAAUUGAUAAAUGCAAUGAAAACAAUGGCCAUUGGUGAAAUAAAACCAAAGGAAGAUGAUGAUGAAAAUAGUGUGGUUGUCAUUCCUUCAUCCUCAACUAUAAAUGAGGAAGAUCACCAAAGCCAACAACUCAAUGAAACCAUGGAUACUCAUGAUCAAGGUACUUCAAGACUUUCGGUUCCUCCUAAUGCUUCAACAAGCAAUUAUCAAACGGUAUCAAGAAUUCAUCAUUCCAUUGUUAAGGAUCACCCGGUUGAUCAAAUUGUGGGUGAUAUUAGUAAGGGUGUUCAAACUCGCUCUCGCAUAGCUUCGUUUUGUGAACAUUUCUCUUUUGUAUCUUGUAUGGAACCUAACCGUGUAGAUGAAGCUCUACUUGAUGUUGAUUGGGUGAAUGCAAUGCAUGAAGAAUUAAAUAACUUCGCUCGAAAUGAAGUUUGGGAGCUUGUUGAGAGACCAAAGAACCACAAUGUUAUUGGUACAAAAUGGAUGUUUCGCAACAAGCACAAUGAAGAUGGUGUGGUAGUAAGAAACAAGGCAAGGUUAGUUGCACAAGGAUAUACUCAAAUUGAAGGAUUGGAUUUUGGGGAGACAUUCGCUCUCGUAGCAAGAUUAGAAGCAAUCCGGAUUCUACUUGCUUAUGCUUGUGCACAUAAUAUCAAGCUCUACCAAAUGGAUGUAAAGAGUGCCUUCCUAAAUGGUAAGAUUAGUGAACUAGUGUAUGUUGAACAACCUCCCGGUUUUGAGGACCCCAAAAGACCUAACCAUGUGUUCAAGCUUUCUAAAGCUCUCUAUGGGCUUAAGCAAGCUCCACGCGCUUGGUAUGAAAGGCUUAGGGAUUUCUUGCUUUCCAAAGACUUCAAAAUUGGGAAGGUUGACACUACUCUAUUCACUAAAAGAAUUGGCAAAGACUUAUUUGUUUGUCAAAUCUACGUUGAUGAUAUUAUUUUUGGAUCUACUAAUGAAUUAUUUUGUGAGGAGUUCGGAAAAAUGAUGUCAAAAGAAUUUGAAAUGUCUAUGAUAGGAGAAUUGAGCUUCUUUCUUGGCCUUCAAAUCAAACAAUUGAAAGAUGGAAUUUUUAUAAGUCAAUCAAAAUAUUUGAAGGACAUGCUCAAGAAGUUUGGUUUAGAAAAUGCUAAGCCUAUCAAGACUCCAAUGGCAACAAAUGGUCAUCUAGACUUAGAUGAAGGAGGUACUAUGGUUGAUCAAAAACUUUAUCGUUCAAUAAUUGGUAGUUUGCUUUAUAUUACCGCAUCUAGGCCCGAUGUUAUGUUUAGUGUAUGCAUGUGUGCUCGAAUUCAAGCUUCACCUAGAGAGAUUCACUUGAAGGCCGCUAAAAGAAUUCUAAGAUAUUUGAAGUAUACUCCCAAUAUUAGUCUAUGGUAUCCCAAAGGUGCUCACUUUGAAUUAAUUGGAUAUUCGGAUUCGGACUAUGCGGGGUGCAAAGUUGAUAGAAAAAGCACCUCCGGUUGUUGUCAAUUUCUUGGUAGAUCUCUUGUUUCAUGGUCUUCUAAGAAACAAAAUUCGGUUGCUCUAUCUACCGCCGAGGCGGAAUAUAUAUCGACCGGAAAUUGUUGUGCUCAACUAUUAUGGAUGAAACAAACCUUAUUGUAUUAUGGAAUUAUUUUCAAGAAUGUGCCUCUCAUGUGUGAUAACGAGAGUGCGGUAAAAUUGGCUACCAAUCCGGUCCAACACUCAAGAACCAAGCAUAUUGAUAUACGGCAUCACUUCUUAAGGGAUCAUGUUGGCAAGGGAGAUAUCUCUAUUUAUUCCAUUGGCACGGAUGAUCAAUUAGCAGACAUUUUUACAAAGCCUUUGGAUGAAACAAGAUUUUGUUCUCUAAGAAGUGAAAUGAAUGUGAUUGAUCUCUCAAAUGUGGCUUGAAGUUGAUCACACAUGUGUCGUAUUGCAACUCGGGUCUAAAUAUGCUCUUUAAGCUAUUUAUUUGGUAUUAUUGGUGCAUUUUUCAUUCCAAAUUGCUCUAGAUAGUUUAAUUCAAAAAUUUUACAUUACUCAAUUACAUAAUAUGUAUAUGCAUGCAUACUAACUCUUGAAUUGGUCGAAAUGUCCAUAUAUAAGCACCAACUCGGAUUCGAAAUUCAAAAUCAGAAAGUGGACAGCAAUUGGAAAAAUGAGUAUCAGGCCGCGGAUCGUCCGCCCAUGGACCGCGGACCGUCCGCAGCAUCAGGAAAUGGACAGUCCGAUCAGCCUCGCAGACCGUCUGAACUCAUCAGGGCGCGGACCGUCCGCCGCCCUAGCGCGGACCGUCCGCGACAGGGCAGUAAAAUCGGGCAGUGGCCGCAGACUUGACAUUUGUGCUCAUUCGCCCUUUCACUCUUGCUUUCCACUCGCCCAAUACUCUCCUGAGUCGAGUGUGCGCGGACGGUGAAGUGAAGUUGCGUGCGGACAGUCCGACAGCUUGUGGCAACAUUCCAUCAACAUGUCUUCAUCACGGUAUCUUCAAAUCUUGUGGAUUUCAUCAAAUCUCUUCUAUUUUGAGAUUAUUUGGGUUUCCUCUCUGAUCUGAAAUUGAGCAGUAGUUUUCAAAAUCUGAUUGGUGGGAUUGUUAGUUCUCCUCAAUGUGAAUGCUAUGCAAAAUUUUGAACUCGUUUGGAUGAGUAUUCUCUGCAAAAUCAUCAAAUUCAACAUUUGUGGCGGCUAGGGUUCUUGGAGUCGCCCCUGGUCGGUCGCGGACCGUCCGCCUGGUGGACGCGGACCGUCCGGGCCUCUGGCGCGGACAGUCCGGCCCCCUAGCGCGGACCGUCCGGACCCUGGCAGAGCAUUCCCAUUCCAUUCCUUUUUAUAGUGGUGAUUGGUAUCAAUUAUUUAUCUAUGGAUGUCUGUCACAUUGUUGCAGUGGUUUUGGUGGUCUCCGCAAGAAACUUGCAGGUCGCUUUAAAUCCAAGCGCCCUCGUGGAAAUGAUGAUGACUAUACACCAACCACUGAUUCAGAGGCCCAAUCCUCAGCUGGGGGCACUGAAUCCAUGGAUGCUGAAGAUUUUCCUCAUGUUCAUCCCGAUUAUCCCAUUGAUACCCAAGGAUGGACAUAUCCAAAGCGGAGAUUUUCAAUGGCUGAGUACUGCUCUAGACGGACUGUGAACCAGUAUACUCUGCCAUCUGAUACAAAUAUCCAGUUUUUCCACACUCAGCUGCAGUUUGAUGUCUUCUGGGGCACCCUGGUGGAUACUAAUUUUAAUAAGCAUCAGGUGAUUGAUUGGUCCUUCUUGCUAAGUCAAUCAGUCAUGGAGGGUCUAAUCCCUAAGUUUGAAACAUGUGGAUUGUAUCAGUUUAUGGGACAACGCACAGAUUUCAAUGAAAUGGUUGUUAAGCAAUUCAUGGCUACCUCGGAGAUUGAUAUUGAAGAAGAAUCUAUCACCUGGAUGACUGGCUUCAAGCGCUAUUCUGCUUCUUUUGCUGACUUUGCCGCUGCCAACAGUCUGGACUAUGACACCAUUUCUGCUGGGCUGGAUCUUUAUACUGAAGAUAAUUUUGAGGAUUUUGUGCAAUUUUAUGAGCCAGCCAGGCUCGGAAUACCCAGGAGGUUUGGAGAGACAGCAGGACUCAGACAUCAUCCUGCUGUCAUCAACAAGAUUGCCAGAGUCACCAUUCUUCCCAAGAGUGGUGAUAAGAGUAAAAUACGAGAUAAGUUCUGGAACAUCAUCCAGCACAUCAUGAAUGGUGAAGUCAUGAAUAUUGUUCUUUUCAUGAUGAGGCAGCUUAAUGAUUUGAAAAUGGACAAGAAUCAAAAUUUAGCAUAUGCUCCUUACAUUAUGGCUCUCAUCAAAUCCAAGACAAGAUUUGAGGGCCCAUGCGAGAUUGUUCACACCCCAUUCAGGCCUUUUAAGAAUGAGAUAGGGUUUCUCACCAGGCCUCUCACUCCCUUCCCAGAUGAUGAGGAAGACCCUGGCUAUGAGGGUGGAGCAGCUCCUAAUGUUGCGGGACAGCAGAUGCCUCCUCCUCCACCUCCUCCUCAGCCUCAGCACUAUUGGGAGCCUGCUCCAGGAUACUUUGAUCCUUAUUUUCACAAUAUGCAGCAAGGGCUUGAGACUCAUAUUGAUACUCGCUUUGAGGGCCUGAUGACCCAUGUGGAUCACCGCCUCGAUGACAUGCAGUCUCGCUUUGACAGUAACUGGGAUGCGCUCAACUCUGAAUUUUCUGAGUUUCGUGAUCAAAUUCACACUAAUGUCACUGAUCCCAUCAUGUCCAGGCUGAAUAAUAUGCAACCGAGUUUUCAAGAUAACAUGGGUGCUCUCUCCAGUCAAUUUGACAAUCUUUCUACAAAUGACAACAUGCAUGAUAUAAGUCAGAGGCAGCAGCAGCUCCAGCAGGAUUUUGGCCAGUUCUCCUCCCUGUUUGACACCUUCAGCACUCACUACUACAACAUGCAUCCUCCGUCGAGUGAUCAGUGAGGCCUCUCCUUUGUGGCAAUUGAUGCCAAAGGGGGAGAGAAGUGAUGAGAAGUUGUCUGCGUCUCCUUCAGGGGGAGUUGGUGGUUCUAUGUGGACAUUAAGACCAUGCAUAUGCAUUUUACCUUUUCAUGCCGCUUGCAUUAGUUUAUGUCUUACGCAUUUGGAACUGGUUUGAUCUGUUAACUCUAUGUCGUAUGUCUGUGGACUAUUAUCUGUAAUAUUCUGUGGGAUGAACUAUUAAGAGGGGUCAAUGACUUAGAUCUGUGUAAAACUUAGUGCCUCAUAGGGCAUCAAGUAGUUGCAUUUGCAUGAGGACUAACAACACUUCACAUUUCGCGAGUCAAAAGUUCUUUCAAAAGCAUGUUUAAAAUUUGCGAAGUCAUGGACGCACGGACUGUCCGGGCCUUAGGGGCGGAUCGUCCGCGAUCCACCAGAGGGGUCCGAAGUUUGACCAUUUGUAUUGACACUGUGUUCUAUUGCACUGCGGACCGUCCGGGCCUUAGGGCCGGACCGUCCGCAGUCAUGACCAGAGGAGGGUGGCUUCGGGACAGUCCCUGAAUUAUAGGCGGACGGUCCGCCUGUAAGGGGCGGACGGUCCGCAAGUGUCAAACUCGUUUUUGGACAGGGACUGUGUGUUUUUAUAGAUUUGUACUACGGACUGUCCGGGGGACCAGUCCGGACAGUACUGUCCGAGGUCUCGGACCGUCCGGGAUUUAUAGCCGGACGGUCCGCGUGUGUUAACUUCUUUUGAUCUGAGGCUCGGGUGUUUGAAUCUGCCAGGUCGCGGACGGUCCGGCCUUGAAGGGCGGACUGUCCGGACCCACCUUUUGAGUCAGCUCUGACAUGUUUCAAACGGUCAUUAUAGCCGUUAUAUGUACGGCGGACCGUCCGGCCCUAGGGCGCGGACGGUCCGCGUGUGCGCAGAAUUGCCCCCUUUUGCACAUAACGGUUGGUUUUAGAUGGGGGACUAUAAAUAGAAGGGUAGCUCGUGUGAGAGACCUCUCUUGGCUAUUCCUUGCACACAUUGAGCUCAUUUGUGAUCCUCCAACUCACUCUCUCACACUCUUUGCUUAAGAUUGCAUUCUAGUGAGAGAUUGAGGGUUCCUAGUGCAUUUGCAUCAUUUGGUGAUUCUUGAGGCACUAGGUGGUACACCGAGCAAGCGUCGUUGGCUUGUUACUCUUGGAGGUUGCCGCCUCCUAGACGGCUCGGGUGAUUGUCUCCGUCGAGCUCUCCAAGAAGAUUGUGGAGAAGCCGCGGUGUGGAUUGUGAGGGGUUCGCGCCUACCUCGCCGGAGCGGCAAAGGUGACAUUAGUGGAAUCGAGGUAUUGAGUGAUUUCUUGUUCACUUGGCUCAAAGAUCAAGUCGUGUCUUGAUAGAGGAGCAAGUGAGAGCUUGAAGUCCACCUCAACGUGGAUUAGGGGUGAUCGGCAAAUCACCGAUACCAUGGGAUAAAUUUCGGUGUCUAUUCCUUCUAGCAUUACUUAUUGCCUUGCAAUUGAUUAGUGAUUUGCUUAUUGUUCUUCAAGUAUUCAAUCUCCGUAGUUGUCUUUCAUACAUUGUUUACUUAUUGACACUAGAUAAUUUAUUCCUCUUGUUGUAUUGAUUAAAUUUAUUUAGUAUUGUUGAUUUUAGUCAAAACCGUCUAUUCACCCCCCCUCUAGCCGGUGUCCUAGAUCCUACAAAGCCUCCAAGCGAGUGUUAACACUCCCUUCGAGGCUCGGAGGCUACUGUCGGGGACCAUAAUUAGGGGUACCCUCAAGACGCCUAAUUCUCAGCUGGUAACCCCCAUCAGCAUAAAGCUGCAGAGGCCUGAUGGGUGCGAUUAAGUCAGGGAUCAGUCCAUACGAGUGACUCGAUCUAGCCUCGGGCAAGGGCAGCCGACCCCGAGGGAUUUCCGUCUCGCCCGAGGCCCCCCUUUAACGGUGGACACAUCUCCGGCUCGCCCGAGGCCUUGCCUUCGCUAAGAAGCAACCCUGACUGAAUCGUCGCGCCGACCGACCGAGUCGCAGGAGCAUUUAACGCAAAGGUGGCCUAACACCUUUAUCCUGACGCGCGCCCCCCGGCAGAGCCAAAGUGACCACCGUCACUUCGCCGCUCCAGUGACCGGUCUGACAGAAGGACAGCGCCGCCUGCGCCACUCCGACUGCAGUGCCACUUGACAGAGUGAGACUGACAGGCAGUCAGGCCUCGCCAAAGGCGCCAUAGGAAACUCCGCUCCGCCUGACCCAGGGCUCGGACUCGAGCUAAGCCCCGGAAGACGGCGAACUCCGCUCCGCCCGACCCAGGGCUCGGACUCGGGCUAAGCCCCGGAAGAUGGCGAACUUCGCUCCGCCCGACCCAGGGCUCGGACUCGGGCUAAGACCCGGAAGACGGCGAACUCCGCUCCGCCCGACCCAGGGCUCGGACUCGGGCUAAGACCCGGAAGACGGCGAACUCCGCUCCGCCCGACCCAGGGCUCGGACUCGGGCUCAGCCCCGGAAGACGGCGAACUCCGCUCCGCCCGACCCAGGGCUCGGGCUCGGGCUCAGCCCCAGAAGACGACGAACUCCGCUUCGCCCGACCCCAGGGCUCGGACUCCGCCCUGGCCUCUGCCGAACGACCUCCGCCUCGCCCGACCUAGGGGCUCGGGCUCGGCCUCGGCAACGGAAGACAGACUCGACCCCAGCUUCGGAGGAGCCCUCCACGUCGCCCGGCCUCGGGCGCGGGCCCGCCACGUCAACAGGGAGCGCCAUCAUCACCCUACCCCGAGCUGACUCGGGCCGCAGAGAACAAGACCGGUGUCCCAUCUGGCUAGCUCCGCCAGAUAGGCAAUGAUGGCGCCCCGCGUGCCCUGUGACGACGGCGGCUCUCAGCUCCCUUACGGAAGCAGGGGGACGUCAGCAAGGACUCGACCGCUCCGACAGCUGUCCCUCCGCCAAGCUCCGUUGCUCCUCCGACAGCCACGACAUCACACCAGAAGGGUGCCAAGAUCUCUCCGGCUGCCACAUUGGCAUGUACUCAGGGCGCUAGCUCUCCCUCCGCUAGACACGUAGCACUCUGCUACAUCCCUAUUGUACACCUGGAUCCUCUCCUUACGCCUAUAAAAGGAAGGACCAGGGCCUUCUUAAAGAAGGUUGGCCGCGCGGGGACGAGGACGAGACAGGCGCUCUCUUGGGGCCGCUCGCUUCCCUCACCCGCGUGGACGCUUGUAACCCCUACUGCAAGCGCACCCGACCUGGGCGCGGGACGAACACGAAGGCCGCGGGAUUUCCACCUCUCUCUCGCCCGUCUCCGGCUACCUCGCUUUCCCCCCUUCACGCUCGCCCACGCGCUCGACCCAUUUGGGCUGGGGCACGCGGCACACUCACUCGUCGGCUCAGGGACCCCCCCGGUCUCGAAACGCCGACAAUUAGCGAUGCAUUUUUUGAGUAACUGAAGAAUCUUUAUGAAAUCGACUUGCGCAAUGUCAGUGCUGGGACCUAGGACCGAAUCAAACUGAAAGGUGAAGAGCUGUUGUCCUACCGAUGCUGGGAUCUGGCUAAAAUAAUUAGCGAUGCAUUUUUUGAGUAACUAAAGAACCUUUAUGAAAUCGACUUGCGCAAUGUCAGUGUUGGGAUUUGGCCAGAAUAAUUAGCGUUGCAACUUCGAGUAAUUAAAGAACCAUUUUGACUUGCACAACAAAGAAACCAGCAAGUAAAAAAGCAUACUAUUUUACAUGACCCGGGGAAGGGACUUAGCAUAUCGGCCCUAUAUCGGCCCUGCACAUAUCAUCGAGGCUGCCUGGGCUAGUAAAAAAGAAACUAUUUAGCGAGGGAGACGGCCGGGACCAGGAGCGACGCCAAUAUCAUCGGAGGAAAAAUAAAAAAAAAACGACUGGAACCACGGCCGAUGGAAGCUGCCCAGGCUUACACAUGGGAGGUGGCCAGGUCACUGCGAGUCUAGCAGGUCCGGGCUCCAAGGAGAUUUAAGGGGAAAACCUAUAUCCUCUCUAUUUUCAUCAUCCCAACUCGAUAGAACCAUGGGAGCUCUCUUGCACCUGUCCCGCUGUAGCUUGACGAUGCAGAUCCGAAUCAGGUGGACCUACUCUCGUCGCAGUUAGGGAGAAGAGCGUGGUCGAGGGAGACAUUGACGACGACGAAGACUGAGAAGUUGUAAACCCUAGAUACCAGUACGCGACCACGGCGAAUACUGAGAAGUUGAAAAACCCUAGAUACCAGUACGCGCUAUGGUUGAAGAAAAGGCCAUGAUGUUUUGGACGAACCUGCACCAACUGUGGAGACGGGCGGAGCGCACGAGGAGAGAGGACGCACGGCCGACAGUUUCGACGUCGCAUUCGCUGGAGAUCCCAGGUCCUGAGAGGUUCUUUUGGGGAGAAGACAAAGGCGAGUGUGUCCCACUCUGUAUUGUACUGGAAGGCUCUGGACGCAGAGACCAACGCUUAG
RNAcentral lists this long non-coding RNA (27721 nucleotides) under Zea mays. RNAcentral describes it as "long non-coding RNA (ZMAY_LNC004040)". Lineage: Eukaryota; Viridiplantae; Streptophyta; Magnoliopsida; Poales; Poaceae. The record is from RNAcentral.